Molecule: unclassified non-coding RNA, 1252 nt
Filed under: Homalodisca vitripennis (glassy-winged sharpshooter)
Lineage: Eukaryota; Metazoa; Arthropoda; Insecta; Hemiptera; Cicadellidae
Description: uDP-glycosyltransferase UGT5-like, transcript variant X4
Source: RNAcentral
ACUAACAGCUGUUGGCUCGGGAUUGGAACAUUUUUCAAUGUUUGUUUACAUUGUCAGUUUAUCAGUCACGUAGCCUAUUUCUUAUUCCAUUCUGAUUCAUGCCGUACAAAAAUAUAAUUAUUAAUAGAAGUAUAGUGUCCGUUGCGUUGUGUUUGUGCACGGAAUCGUAAGCUGGUUAUAUCUUAUAUCACACCGGAGUGAUGAAGGUGUCAACGGUUAAAGUGCAAAUACAGAUUAUAGGGGUUUUAAUAAUUAUUGGUACUGUUUAUAGUCAUAACAUUCUAGGGUUAUUCCCCACGACAGCAAAAAGUGCCUUCCUUGCUUCAGAAGCAAUUAUGAAAGAACUGGCUAGAAGAGGACACAACGUCACUGUAGUUUCUUGUUUUCCUCAACAGAAUAAAAUUAGUAAUUAUACUGAUAUUAGUAUUAGAUCUGCUAGGGAAUCUAUGAUGUAUGAAAGCAGCAUUGAUAUUAAGAAAUACAAUAUCCCUUUGGAUAUUUUGGAUCUCACUCCAUUUUUUACCGAUUUGAUUGAAAGCAUGAGAAGUGUUCUUGAAUUUAGUGGAAUUCAGGAACUUCUAUCAUCAAAUAUGUCUUUUGAUGUGGUAUUUCAUGAAAUGUUUGUUGAUGAUAUUUUUUUAUUGAUUUCCAGGAAAUUCAAUGCUCCGAUUAUAGCUAUAGGUCCAUCCUAUAUUUUACCAUGGGCUGCUGAUCGCUUUGCGAUUCCUCAAAACCCAUCUUAUAUCCCUGUUAUUGCUAAUGGCUAUAGUGCUAAAAUGAAUUUCUGUGAAAGGCUUUGGAAUACAAUAACUUUGAUAAGAAGUAAAAUAGAUUAUUGGAAUAUAUUAAAUCCCAAGUCACUUGAGGUAUAUAGUAAACACUAUAAGGAAACUUUACCUUCAUUCCGUGAGGUGUCAAGUUAUGUCAGUAUGUAUUUUGUGAAUCAGCAUUUCACUUUAAAUAGACCACGACCUCUUCCUCCGCAAGUGAUAGAGAUAGCAGGUGUUCACUUGAAACCAGUAAAAGCAUUAGAACAGAUACAACAGAGAUGGAGUCUUCAUGAAUGUUAAUAUCCGUCAGGUCCUUAAGGCUUUCUUACUGAAUUUCUGAGACAGAAGAUGAAGGAACUCCAAAUGUGGAUGGACAAUGCACCUUUCGGUGUCGUCUACUUUUCCUUUGGUUCAAUGCUGCGAGGAGCAUCUCUCCCAACUGAGAAAGUGCAGAUUUUCCUUGAGGUAUUCCGAAGUUUCCC